UACGUAGGUAGCGAGCGUUGUUCGGAAUUACUGGGCGUAAAGAGUGUGUAGGCGGUGCUCUAAGUUCGGUGUGAAAUCUCCUGGCUUAACUGGGAGGGUGCGCCGGAAACUGGAGUGCUUGAGCGUGGGAGAGGAAAGCGGAAUUCCUGGUGUAGCGGUGAAAUGCGUAGAUAUCAGGAGGAACACCUGUGGUGUAGACGGCUUUCUGGACCAUAGCUGACGCUGAGACACGAAAGCGUGGGUAGCAAACAGG
Molecule: ribosomal RNA, 253 nt
Filed under: uncultured bacterium
Lineage: Bacteria
Description: partial 16S ribosomal RNA
Rfam family: Bacterial small subunit ribosomal RNA
Source: RNAcentral